CGUCGGUGUGAAUGUGCCUCUGCUGCCCUGCGUGGCACCUGCCACCCUCUCACACACAGCUGCCAGUGCCACCCGGGGGCUGGAGGCCGAUACUGCGAGCGAUGCCUGCCAGGAUUCUGGGAUUACAGCACAUCCGGCUGCAAGAAAUGUGAUUGCCCAGAGGAGAAUUGUGACAUGCACACAGGAGAGUGUCUUCCCGAGGCCUCGCAAAUCAGCGAGUGUAAUAUCGACUGCGAUGCGUGUAUUUGGAAUCUGAUUGGAGAUAUUCGUCAGUCCAACAAAACCUUGGACCAAGUUAGGAACAGCGUGCUGAACAUUUCUACAGGAGCUGCGGCCAACGACAGAUUAAAGUACUACAACUACACUGCACACAGAC
This is a non-coding RNA of Pimephales promelas (fathead minnow), 376 nucleotides long. The record is from RefSeq and is a predicted model, not a curated record. NCBI's taxonomy places the organism in Eukaryota, Metazoa, Chordata, Actinopteri, Cypriniformes, Leuciscidae.